GAUGUUGAAUUUGGAAAUUGGAGGGGACGCUGGUGGACGGAUUGGGUGCAAGGAGUUGGUGUUGAUGGAGGAGCAGGACGCCAGAGUCCCAGCCCUGGAACCGUUCAGAGUGGAGCAGGCACCACCUGUAAUCUACUAUGUCCCUGACUUCAUCUCCAAAGAAGAGGAGGAGUAUUUGCUUCGACAGGUUUUUAAUGCCCCAAAGCCAAAGUGGACCCAGCUCUCUGGGAGAAAGUUACAGAACUGGGGUGGGCUUCCUCAUCCCCGAGGGAUGGUUCCUGAGCGGCUGCCCCCAUGGCUGCAGCGCUACGUGGACAAAGUGUCAAACCUCAGCCUCUUUGGAGGUCUCCCAGCUAACCAUGUCCUCGUGAACCAGUAUCUGCCUGGGGAGGGCAUCAUGGUAACCACACACCCUUGGCCUGUGUCCCCCCACUCAGACUUCUGAGCUGUGCUGGGGCAGGGGACUCUGUACCCACCCUCACUCAUUAGGCAGCCACAUCUCCCAAACAGGCAUUCACCUCCCUGUCCCUGGCUUGGGAAGCCCCCCUUUGACCCA
RNAcentral lists this small RNA (556 nucleotides) under Pan troglodytes (chimpanzee). RNAcentral's name for it is "retained intron". The record is from RNAcentral. Lineage: Eukaryota; Metazoa; Chordata; Mammalia; Primates; Hominidae.